Molecule: ribosomal RNA, 246 nt
Filed under: uncultured bacterium
Lineage: Bacteria
Description: partial 16S ribosomal RNA
Rfam family: Bacterial small subunit ribosomal RNA
Source: RNAcentral
GGGGCUAGCGUUGUUCGGAAUCACUGGGCGUAAAGCGUAUGUAGGCGGAUUGUUAAGUCAGGGGUGAAAUCCCGAGGCUCAACCUCGGAACUGCCUUUGAUACUGGCUGUCUUGAGUCCGGGAGAGGUGAGUGGAACUCCUAGUGUAGAGGUGAAAUUCGUAGAUAUUAGGAAGAACACCAGUGGCGAAGGCGGCUCACUGGCCCGGAACUGACGCUGAAAUACGAAAGCGUGGGGAGCAAACAGG